Molecule: transfer-messenger RNA, 369 nt
Filed under: Micrococcaceae
Lineage: Bacteria; Bacillati; Actinomycetota; Actinomycetes; Micrococcales
Also listed under: 1 other name
Description: Arthrobacter_F crystallopoietes Standard tmRNA
Rfam family: transfer-messenger RNA
About the family: Bacterial tmRNA, also known as 10Sa RNA or SsrA, is named for its dual tRNA and mRNA-like properties. Its role is to liberate the mRNA from a stalled ribosome.
Source: RNAcentral
GGGGAUGACAGGUUUCGACGAUGUUAGUCGCGCCAGGGGAAGCGGGCCGAGGAUGCAGGGCUAUCUCGUUAACGCUCUCUGCAAAAAAUAACUGCUGAAUCCAAACAGCACGACUUCGCUCUCGCUGCCUAAGCAGCGGGCAUAGUCCGUCAGUCCGGGUACGCUCUCGCCCCGGUUUCUGGCGUCAUUUAGAGGGCCACUGCUGGACACUUUCGCCGUUGGGGUGUCCGGGACUUUUAGACGGCUGGGCCCGGGUCAGCCACUUGUUUGCAUGAUGGCUGGGGCCGAGAAAUCCCGAAGCAAACUGCGCCCGGAGAAGUCCUGGCAACGCAACAUCGGACGGGGGUUCAAUUCCCCCCAUCUCCACCA